UCAGGACCAAGUUGUUAAAAUAAUUUCCAUGUAUUUUUACAGUUUCAAAAAUUUCUCUUGUUAUUGAUUUCUACUUUUUUUCCAUUGUGGUCAGAAAAGAUACUUAAUGUGAUUUAGAUUUUUACAAAUUUGUUUAGACUUGUUUUGUGACCUAACAUGUAGUCUAUCCUGGAGAAUGUUUUAUGUGCCGAUGGGAAGAAUGUGUAUUCUGUAAUUGUUGGAUAAAAUGUUCUGUAUAUAUCUGUUAGGUCCAUUUGGUCUUUGUUUUCUUUCAGGCCAUCCUCUCCUAUCGUGUAAGAUUUCUACUGAGAAAUCCACUAUUAGUCUGACUGGUUUCUCUUAUGUGUGACUUGAUGCUUUUCUCUUGCUGUUUUUGGAAUUCUCUGUCUUUGGCUUUUGGCAGUUUGACUAUAAAGUGCCUUGGAGAAGACCUUUUUCGGUUAAAUCUAUUUGGGGAUCUUUGAGCUUCCACUAUCUGGAUGUCUGAACCCCUUGUAAGACUUGGGAAGUUUUCAGUGAUUAUUUUAUUAAAUUGGUUUUCGAUGCUUUUCCCCACCUCUUCUUCUGGACCUCCUUCUGUUUCUUUCACCUUACUGGGUUAUUUCAAAUGACUUGUCUUCAGGUUCUGAACUAAUAUCUCCUUAUUGAAUUAUCUCAUUCGGAUUUUGAAUUGUUUUUCUGAUUUCUUUGUAUUAUUUAUCUGUGUUCUCUUGUAUCUCAUUGAGUAUAUUUAAUAUUGUUAUUUUAAAUUAUUUGUAGGCAUUUCACACAUUUCUUUUACAUUGGAAUCUCUUGCUGGAUAAUUAUCACAUUACUUCGAAGUUGUCAUGUUUCCUUGCUUUUUCAUGUUUUUUGUGUCCUUAUGUUGAUAUCUGCACAUCUGCUGUAACAGUUGCC
RNAcentral lists this long non-coding RNA (897 nucleotides) under Homo sapiens (human). RNAcentral describes it as "non-protein coding lnc-PAK1-4:1". The record is from RNAcentral. Lineage: Eukaryota; Metazoa; Chordata; Mammalia; Primates; Hominidae.